UACGUAGGGUGCAAGCGUUAAUCGGAAUUACUGGGCGUAAAGCGUGCGCAGGCGGUUCUGUAAGACAGGUGUGAAAUCCCCGGGCUUAACCUGGGAACUGCAUUUGUGACUGCAUAGCUAGAGUACGGUAGAGGGGGAUGGAAUUUCGCGUGUAGCAGUGAAAUGCGUAGAUAUCAAGAGGAACACCUGAGGUGAAGACGGGUUGCUGGGCCAACACUGACGCUGAUGCGCGAAAGCCAGGGGAGCAAACGGG
Molecule: ribosomal RNA, 253 nt
Filed under: uncultured bacterium
Lineage: Bacteria
Description: partial 16S ribosomal RNA
Rfam family: Bacterial small subunit ribosomal RNA
Source: RNAcentral